CUUUUCCCCCACCACACUAGUGCACCACCAACUCCAUUAUCUUUUGCUCCCCACCAAAUCCUUCUCCCUUCUUACUCAAUAGAUCGCCAGUGGAGCUGUUUAAGAAAAUCCAAUUCGUAUAUUCCAACAGAAUGUUUACAGCAAGCUCAUGCCAACAUCAAAACCAAGUUUCACACAGAAAAAAACACCCGAAAUAACAUCUAUAAUCUCCGAGAUCUCCUUAUUCAAACAGUAUAUGCCAACAAAUUUUCACCAAGAAGAAGAAAACAGAUCAGCCAAUCAAGCACAAAUAGACAAGGUCAAGCGCGAGAGUAAGAACUACACAAGGAGUUAGAGUACCUUAGCAAAACUUUGCUAUCAGGUUGAGCUGUGAUGGGCGAUGAAGUGUUGUUGCUGAGUGGAGUUUUUGUUGAACUUAAAGUAGGCUCAGAAAGGAUACAUGUCUUCAUACAUGUAUCUCAGUUAUGUAUUCCGCUGUAAACACUGAUUAUUUCAGUUACGCCUUCCGUUGCAAACUCUGAUAAUAUUUUAGCCAAGCCCCUAACGAUGCCUUUUCCUUUUAAGGAAUAUUUCACGCGUAUCCAAGCUCUUUGAGUAUUCUUUUA
Molecule: long non-coding RNA, 605 nt
Organism: Salvia miltiorrhiza (redroot sage)
Lineage: Eukaryota; Viridiplantae; Streptophyta; Magnoliopsida; Lamiales; Lamiaceae
Exons: 3
Source: RefSeq, a predicted model, not a curated record